RNAcentral lists this ribosomal RNA (253 nucleotides) under uncultured bacterium. RNAcentral describes it as "partial 16S ribosomal RNA". It matches the Rfam family "Bacterial small subunit ribosomal RNA", at positions 524 to 776 of the family's 1533-position model. The record is from RNAcentral.
UACAGAGGUUGCGAGCGUUAAUCGGAUUUACUGGGCGUAAAGGGCGCGUAGGUGGUAAGGCAAGUAAGAUGUGAAAUCCCUGGGCUUAACCUAGGAAGUGCAUCUUAAACUGCUUAACUAGAGUAUGGUAGAGGGUAGUGGAAUUUCCGGUGUAGCGGUGAAAUGCGUAGAGAUCGGAAGGAACGCCAGUGGUGAAGACGACUACCUGGACCAAUACUGACACUGAGGCGCGAGAGCGUGGGGAGCAAACAGG